UUGCUACAAGCACAGUUCUCUUUUGUAUUAGAAUGACAAUCUUUGUACUCGGAUGUUGUUUAUCCAAAUCUUCAUAGUGUACACUGGAGAUGAACCGAAUCGAGUGCAUCUUGCAUUGCAUAAGAAGCCUUAUGCUGGUGUCGCUUCAAUGAUAUGAUCCUAGUAAUUGGUUGUUCUGGAAUUUUCAUGUCAAGAUAUAUUUAUAUUUUACCAUGAUAUUAAGUCAUAGUAGUUUCUCAUAUUCUCUUUACAUUAAAGGAGUGCAUAUGAAUCCUUGUCACCAGUUAUAAAGAAAAAAGCAUCAUCCAUUAACAUUCUUUUAAAUGACAUCUAAAGGUGCAGGGAAAGAUUCCAGCAGCUGAGCAUCCAUCAAGCCCUAUGCGCCGCAAUGCAGGUAACAUCUCACACCAUUUUGCUGCUUAUUGUAACCUCUCUCACACUGCUGCAACAGAUGAUUCCAAAGCAUAAUCUCUGUGUAACCUCUCUAUUGUAACCUCUCUCACACUGCUGCAACAAAUGCAGGUAACCUCUCACACCAUUUUGCUGCUUAUUGUAACCUCUCUCACACUGCUGCAACAGAUGAUUCCAAAGUAUAAUCUCUGUUUUUUUUCUGUCGGUGCUUUAAUAAGCAUGAAGGAUAAACUGAUGACAGCAAGCAAUCAUGCAUGCAUCUAGUGGCCUUGCUUCCACAUUUUUCCAUAUGAUGAGGCCAAUGAAUCAGCCGGCCACAUGCAUGCAUAUAGGGUGAGAAGAACAAGAGAGAGAGUUCAUCAGACAUAACAGAGGCAGUUGCAUCUCGUUUCACCUCAUUCUACAUGCACGUCUUUACAUAACCAUAAGCAUAUCUAUUAUGUAGAUAUAUAGGGACGGAGGUUUGCAUGUCUACUAUUUCCUCAGGCAUUCACGGAUGACUUUAGGACAAGUACUAAGGCCCCUGAAAGUCCAGUGUACACUGUCAGGUAUGGCUCAAAGGUUGCACUUUUGCAUACCCAAAAGAGAACGCACCUCACGACAACCCAAUGCUGCUUGAUGUGCGUAUCGCCGGAAACCUUCUGCAGCCCAUCGGAUUAUGGUACGGUGAAGUCCAGGCUUCGAUCAUGUUCAACGGCGUCAAUGGUAUGGUGAAGUAGAGCCGGUGACUCCUGCCGUUCCUUGUUUUGAGCCAGAGACCAUUGCAACAACAGUCCCAACUCUCGUUCUUACUACUAUUCGAUUCACUAGUUGUAUGCAGAAGUUUUCUCUAGUUUUAUAUGCAGUUGUACUGUAUCUGAUAGAGGGGAGAACUCUUGUUCUUCUAUUUGAUUUAAAUAGAUCUAUGUUUAGUUUGGAAA
RNAcentral lists this long non-coding RNA (1331 nucleotides) under Musa acuminata (dwarf banana). RNAcentral describes it as "long non-coding RNA (MACU_LNC005425)". Lineage: Eukaryota; Viridiplantae; Streptophyta; Magnoliopsida; Zingiberales; Musaceae. The record is from RNAcentral.